RNAcentral lists this ribosomal RNA (460 nucleotides) under uncultured bacterium. Its description in RNAcentral is "partial 16S ribosomal RNA". It matches the Rfam family "Bacterial small subunit ribosomal RNA", at positions 338 to 795 of the family's 1533-position model. The record is from RNAcentral.
CCUACGGGAGGCAGCAGUGAGGAAUAUUGGUCAAUGGGCUUACGCCUGAACCAGCCAAGUCGCGUGAGGGAAUACUGCCCUAUGGGUUGUAAACCUCUUUUGUCAGGGAGCAACGCCGGCUACGUGUAGCCGGACUGAGAGUACCUGAAGAAAAAGCAUCGGCUAACUCCGUGCCAGCAGCCGCGGUAAUACGGAGGAUGCGAGCGUUAUCCGGAUUUAUUGGGUUUAAAGGGUGCGUAGGCGGAAUGCCAAGUCAGCGGUAAAAUCGCGGGGCUCAACCUCGCUCCGCCGUUGAAACUGGCGUGCUUGAGUGGGCGAGAAGAAUGCGGAAUGCGUGGUGUAGCGGUGAAAUGCAGAGAUAUCACGCAGAACGCCGAUUGCGAAGGCAGCAUACCGGCGCCCAACUGACGCUGAAGCACGAAAGCGUGGGUAUCGAACAGGAUUAGAUACCCUAGUAGUC